CUACGGGCCGCAGCAGUGGGGAAUAUUGCACAAUGGAGGAAACUCUGAUGCAGCAACGCCGCGUGGAGGAUGACACUUUUCGGAGCGUAAACUCCUUUUAUAUAGGAAGAAGAUGACGGUACUAUAUGAAUAAGCGCCGGCUAACUCCGUGCCAGCAGCCGCGGUAAUACGGAGGGCGCAAGCGUUACUCGGAAUCACUGGGCGUAAAGAGCGUGUAGGCGGAUUAAAAAGUCAGAAGUGAAAUCCUAUAGCUUAACCAUAGAACUGCUUCUGAAACUCUUAAUCUAGAAUAUGGGAGAGGUAGACGGAAUUUCUGGUGUAGGGGUAAUAUCCGUAGAGAUCAGAAGGAAUACCGAUUGCGAAGGCGAUCUACUAGAACAUUAUUGACGCUGAGACGCGAAAGCGUGGGGAGCAAACAGGAUUAGAUACCCCAGUAGUC
RNAcentral lists this ribosomal RNA (439 nucleotides) under uncultured bacterium. RNAcentral's name for it is "partial 16S ribosomal RNA". It matches the Rfam family "Bacterial small subunit ribosomal RNA", at positions 339 to 795 of the family's 1533-position model. The record is from RNAcentral.